RNAcentral lists this non-coding RNA (715 nucleotides) under Drosophila virilis. RNAcentral describes it as "Eukaryotic large subunit ribosomal RNA". It matches the Rfam family "Eukaryotic large subunit ribosomal RNA", at positions 1 to 634 of the family's 3401-position model. The record is from Rfam by way of RNAcentral. Lineage: Eukaryota; Metazoa; Arthropoda; Insecta; Diptera; Drosophilidae.
CAACCUCAACUCAUAUGGGACUGCCCCCUGAAUUUAAGCAUAUUAAUUAGGGGAGGAAAAGAAACUAACAAGGAUUUUCUUAGUAGCGGCGAGCGAAAAGAAAUCAGUUCAGCACUAAGUCACUUUGUCUAUAUGGCAAAUGUGAGAUGCAGUGUACGGAACAUCAACAUUCUAGUAUGAGAAGUUAACGAUUUAAGUCCUUCUUAAAUGAGGCCAUUUACCCAUAGAGGGUGCCAGGCCCGUAUAACGUUAAUGAUUACUAGAUGGUGUUUCCAAAGAGUCGUGUUGCUUGAUAGUGCAGCACUAAGUGGGUGGUAAACUCCAUCUAAAACUAAAUAUAACCAUGAGACCGAUAGUAAACAAGUACCGUGAGGGAAAGUUGAAAAGAACUCUGAAUAGAGAGUUAAAUAGUACGUGAAACUGCUUAGAGGUUAAGCCCGAUGAACCUGAAUAUCCGUUAUGGAAAAUUCAUCAUUAGAAUUGUAAUAUUUUAAACAAUAUUAUAAUAAUAGUGUGCAUUUUUUCCAUAUAAGGACAUUGUAAUCUAUUAGCAUAAAUAUUUAUCAUAAAAUUAUGUCUGAUUGCUUAUUUGAAUUAUAUGCUUGGCAUUUUAACAUAAAAUAAAAGAUAUAAAUUUGAUAAAGUGCUGAUAGAUUUAUAUGAUUACAGUGCGUUAAUUUUUCGGAAUUAUAUAAUGGCAUAAUUAUCAUUGAUA